UACGUAGGGGGCAAGCGUUGUCCGGAGUUACUGGGCGUAAAGCGCACGCAGGCGGUCUUUUAAGUUUGGAGUGACAGUUGGUGGCUUAACUGCCAAAGUGCUUCGAAAACUGAGAGACUUGAGGGCUUCAGAGGGACACGGAAUUCCGGGUGGAGUGGUGAAAUGCGUAGAGAUCCGGAGGAACACCAAAGGCGAAGGCAGUGUCCUGGGGAGUACCUGACGCUCAGGUGCGAAAGCCAGGGGAGCGAACAGG
Molecule: ribosomal RNA, 253 nt
Filed under: uncultured bacterium
Lineage: Bacteria
Description: partial 16S ribosomal RNA
Rfam family: Bacterial small subunit ribosomal RNA
Source: RNAcentral